UACGUAGGGUGCAAGCGUUGUCCGGAAUUAUUGGGCGUAAAGAGCUCGUAGGCGGUUUGUCGCGUCUGCUGUGAAAACCCGAGGCUCAACCUCGGGCCUGCAGUGGGUACGGGCAGACUAGAGUGCGGUAGGGGAGAAUGGAAUUCCUGGUGUAGCGGUGAAAUGCGCAGAUAUCAGGAGGAACACCGGUGGCGAAGGCGGAUCUCUGGGCCAUUACUGACGCUGAGGAGCGAAAGCGUGGGGAGCGAACGGG
This 253-nucleotide ribosomal RNA is filed under the name uncultured bacterium. RNAcentral's name for it is "partial 16S ribosomal RNA". It matches the Rfam family "Bacterial small subunit ribosomal RNA", at positions 524 to 776 of the family's 1533-position model. The record is from RNAcentral.